UUUAUGGAGAGUUUGAUCCUGGCUCAGGAUGAACGCUGGCGGCGUGCCUAAUACAUGCAAGUCGAGCGAACGGACGAGAAGCUUGCUUCUCUGAUGUUAGCGGCGGACGGGUGAGUAACACGUGGAUAACCUACCCAUAAGACUGGGAUAACUUCGGGAAACCGGAGCUAAUACCGGAUAAUAUUU
Molecule: ribosomal RNA, 186 nt
Filed under: Staphylococcus aureus
Lineage: Bacteria; Bacillati; Bacillota; Bacilli; Caryophanales; Staphylococcaceae
Description: partial 16S ribosomal RNA
Rfam family: Bacterial small subunit ribosomal RNA
Source: RNAcentral